UAUGGGGAAUGAGGAAUGGAGGAUCCCAGAGCGGAGGGGUUGUGGGGAAUGGAGAAUGAGGGGUCCCCGAGCGGAGAGGCGUGUGGGGAGUGGAGAAUGGGAGAUCCUGGAAGGGUUUGAACAGCAACUGGAAUUGUGGGCAGCCAGAAGUAAAACUCACAAGAUCAGUUAGGUUGGAAAAAGACCUCUGAGAUCAUCGAGUCCCACCUAUGAGGAGCACCACCUGUUCAAAUAGACCAUGGCAUCAGUGCCACAUCCACUUUCUUCUUAAAGAGCUCCAGGGACGGUAACCCCCCCAGCUUCCCUGGGCAGCCCGUUUCCAUAUCUAAUCGCCCUCUCAGUGAAGAAAUUCCUCCUAACAUCCAAAAUAAACCUCGCCUUGCACAGCUUAGGGCUGUGUCCUCGUGUCCUGUCCCUGGUUGCCUGGGAGAAGAGGCUGACCCCAGCUGGCUGCAGCCUGUGUUCAGACAGGAGGGAAUGCCCAGGUUUCAGCCCCCGCCACGGCAGGUGCUCGGUGCGGGUCGGUGGAUGCUGGGGCUGGGGCUGAGGCCCGGGCACCCCACAGGUGCUUGUGGGAAGCUCAGUCUAAUACCAGCGACAGAGAAAUGAGUGAAGCGAUUUGUAUUGUAGAAAAUUGGACACGGGAUGGGGUCAGUGGGAAAAAAACAAGUAGAUAUGAAGUUUUUUACCUCCAGAGUGAGAAAUUGUGAAGAAUGUCAUCCAGCAAUGUGACAUUGCAGGUACACAGGGGUUGGGGAUGAUGACAUGGAAGGAUUGCCUCUGGACUAGUGGUUACUCUUUGUUUGUGCCUGCUGCCUCUUGGCCUGUCCUUGGGCACCACUUAGAAGAAUCUGGCUUCCUCUUCUUUAAUCCACCAUAUCAGAGGCUGUUCAGCUGCACAGGUGUGAGAAAAGAAUAAGACAACUGAUGUCACAGCAAGGACUGUGGCACUAUUUACAGACAAGGGCUCUGCUGCUUGUAGAAUGAAAGAAGCUCAAAUGGGAGCAGGUCCCAGCCCCCUCCAAAAAUUUGUCGAAAUGCACUUUUUUUAAAUUGUACUGGCUAUUGCUGAUUGCCUUAAAAGCACGGACGAAAUCAUAUUGGUUCUACCACUGUGAAAUAGGUGAAAUACUACAGUGUAAAGUGGGCUUACACUGCCUGAGGUAAGAUCUGUGACCUCCUACUUGAGAGAAAGGAGUGAGCCACCUUUGAGGAAUCUACAGUCUUUCAACAGAAAUGGGGAAGACUGCUGACAGUUUCUGUUUUUCUUUCUUAAGAAGAAAACAUAUUGAUAAUAAAUGGACUGUGAGACUUGCUGGACAUGGGGUUCCCUUACCUGGGAGUUGGAAGAGCAGAUGUUGAUGACUGGCACAGCUGUGCUAAAGUCAACAGAGAUGUGUCAUUUUAAUCAGCAGAUUAUUGGGCCCCUGGAUGUAGAUCUCAUAAACACUUUGUUUAUAAAGAGGCUUAUGGAUGGGAAAUGAGAAAUACUUAUUGCUGAUAAUUUCUGGGAAACAUUCUAGAGAGGAAUCUGAGGGGGAGGGGAAGGAGUGGCAGUGCUGUGGCUGGGCUCAAUGCCAGACUAAGCAAGUGUUAAAGGUCAAGUUGUAGUAACAGCAGUAAGUUGCAGACAUAAUGUAAUUAUGAGAGCUGGUAAGGUGUGGUGUUGGAGCAGGGCGUGGCCAGACUUGCAUUACCAUUUACACCUCACCAGGU
Molecule: long non-coding RNA, 1716 nt
Organism: Prinia subflava (tawny-flanked prinia)
Lineage: Eukaryota; Metazoa; Chordata; Aves; Passeriformes; Cisticolidae
Exons: 4
Source: RefSeq, a predicted model, not a curated record